UCGUCAGGAGGUUAAUCCUUACCUGUUCCUCCUUCUGGAGGGCAGAUAGAAAAUGAUGAGUGGAGCUUGCAUGACUUGCUGAUUAGCAUUUCUGUGUAGCCAGGACCUGACAACAUCUGAUUGUUGUUGCUCUUAUCUGAU
This is a small nucleolar RNA of Alexandromys fortis (reed vole), 141 nucleotides long. RefSeq annotates it as U8 small nucleolar RNA. NCBI's taxonomy places the organism in Eukaryota, Metazoa, Chordata, Mammalia, Rodentia, Cricetidae. The record is from RefSeq and is a predicted model, not a curated record. The transcript has a single exon.